This 72-nucleotide transfer RNA is filed under the name bacterium. Its description in RNAcentral is "tRNA-Arg". It matches the Rfam family "tRNA". From Rfam's summary of the family: Transfer RNA (tRNA) molecules are approximately 80 nucleotides in length. Their secondary structure includes four short double-helical elements and three loops (D, anti-codon, and T loops). Further hydrogen bonds mediate the characteristic L-shaped molecular structure. tRNAs have two regions of fundamental functional importance: the anti-codon, which is responsible for specific mRNA codon recognition, and the 3' end, to which the tRNAs corresponding amino acid is attached (by aminoacyl-tRNA synthetases). tRNAs cope with the degeneracy of the genetic code in two manners: having more than one tRNA (with a specific anti-codon) for a particular amino acid; and 'wobble' base-pairing, i.e. permitting non-standard base-pairing at the 3rd anti-codon position. The record is from RNAcentral.
GCGCCCGUAGUGAAAUGGAUAUCAUAACUGCCUUCGAAGCAGUCGUUGCGGGUUCGAAUCCUGCCGGGCGCG